Molecule: long non-coding RNA, 399 nt
Filed under: Actinidia chinensis (golden kiwifruit)
Lineage: Eukaryota; Viridiplantae; Streptophyta; Magnoliopsida; Ericales; Actinidiaceae
Description: long non-coding RNA (ACHI_LNC001080)
Source: RNAcentral
AUUUAUUCUUUACUUGAGUUGUUUUGUAUCUCAUAUAGGAUGGAAGUGGUCAACAUUGAGUUGGAGGAUUGAAGCGGUGAUAGUAAAGAUCAUUAAGUGACAAUAUUUGCAAUUGGUAGUAAUCUAGAUUACAUGGUGAUGAAGUCCGAAUUUGGUACAGCUUGACUCAAUCCAAUGUCCUCCAAGAGGAGAAGAAGAUGAGCCCAUGGUGGCACUAGUGUAGUGCCAGUCAAAAUCCCUCCAAUACUUAAGCUAGUAAACUUAGCAAAUUUUAGAGAAAAGAUGUAAAGAUAGGGCAUUUUUGUAGAGAGAGAGACACAUACCCUUUUGUCUUCCAUCUCUUCUUUAUAUAGGAGGUCGUUGGUGGAUGCCCUAAGAUGUAAUGGGCCCCUUACACAA